AACGCGAAGAACCUUACCCAGGCUUGACAUGCAGUAGACCGGUCCAGAGAUGGACCUUUCCUUCGGGACUGCUGCACAGGUGCUGCAUGGCUGUCGUCAGCUCGUGCCGUGAGGUGUUGGGUUAAGUCCCGCAACGAGCGCAACCCUUAUCGUUAGUUGCCAACAUUUAAGGUGGGAACUCUAACGAGACUGCCCGGGUUAACCGGGAGGAAGGUGAGGAUGACGUCAAGUCCGCAUGGCCCUUAUGUCUGGGGCUACACACGUGCUACAAUGGUCGGUACAGAAGGCAGCGAAACCGCAAGGUGAAGCAAAUCCCGAAAACCGGCCUCAGUUCAGAUUGUAGUCUGCAACUCGACUACAUGAAGAUGGAAUUGCUAGUAAUGGCGAGUCAGCAACAUCGCCGUGAAUACGUUCACGGGUC
RNAcentral lists this ribosomal RNA (421 nucleotides) under uncultured bacterium. RNAcentral's name for it is "bacterial SSU rRNA". It matches the Rfam family "Bacterial small subunit ribosomal RNA", at positions 958 to 1380 of the family's 1533-position model. The record is from RNAcentral.